GCGUUUGUGGUUUAGUGGUAAAAUCCAUCGUUGCCAUACAUUCGAGUGAAGACCGAAUGCAGUAAUCGAUGGGCCCCGGGUUCGAUUCCCGGCGAACGCA
Molecule: non-coding RNA, 100 nt
Organism: Rhexocercosporidium sp. MPI-PUGE-AT-0058
Lineage: Eukaryota; Fungi; Ascomycota; Leotiomycetes; Helotiales
Source: the annotation of a GenBank genome assembly